Molecule: long non-coding RNA, 424 nt
Organism: Oreochromis aureus
Lineage: Eukaryota; Metazoa; Chordata; Actinopteri; Cichliformes; Cichlidae
Source: Ensembl
UGUCUCAGGCUACCGGCUCUAGCACCCCUGUGUCCUCAUCAACUUAUAAUAACUGAUAAUUCAUGCUCUAGCUCGAGAAUCUUGUUACGUCAUGUGCCUAUUACCCUGAUCGUAACCCAAUUCCCAGUCCAAUCUUCGCCAACGUGGGUAACUUGAUGAACUGGUGGGGAAGAGAUGACAAUGCUGGUCUUAAAUAUCCUUAGCAGACUGCUCCAGCGAUAAUAGCUGAACAAGCAGUUUAUCUCCGACCAGGAAGAGGAGAGUUGGACACUUUUAUCUGCGCUCCCUAACAACAAGAGGGGCCGCGUCCUUCAGAAUCAUACACCUAACAUACGCACAUACAUACGCACCAACAUUCCUCUGUCUAUUCACUAUUGUAUUACUUUUGCAUAUAAAUAAAAACCAGGGCAGUGGCAGAGCGCUG